GCCCGUAUAGCUCAGUCGGUAGAGCAGGGGAUUGAAAAUCCCCGUGUCCGUGGGUCGAUUCCGCGUCCGGGCACCA
Molecule: transfer RNA, 76 nt
Filed under: Plesiomonas shigelloides
Lineage: Bacteria; Pseudomonadati; Pseudomonadota; Gammaproteobacteria; Enterobacterales; Enterobacteriaceae
Description: tRNA-Phe
Rfam family: tRNA
About the family: Transfer RNA (tRNA) molecules are approximately 80 nucleotides in length. Their secondary structure includes four short double-helical elements and three loops (D, anti-codon, and T loops).
Source: RNAcentral